Molecule: ribosomal RNA, 2802 nt
Filed under: Cerasicoccus arenae
Lineage: Bacteria; Pseudomonadati; Verrucomicrobiota; Opitutia; Puniceicoccales; Cerasicoccaceae
Description: Bacterial large subunit ribosomal RNA
Rfam family: Bacterial large subunit ribosomal RNA
Source: Rfam by way of RNAcentral
GACUAAAUAACUUAAAGCAAUAAGUGAAUGCCUUGGCGACACCAGGCGAUGAAGGACGUGCCAAGCUGCGAUAAGCUUCGGGGAGCGGCAAAGACGCUUUGAUCCGAAGAUUUCCGAAUGGGGCAACCCGGCAGUUUCGACUGUCAUUGCAUGCUGAAUAUAUAGGCAUGCAAAGCAAUACCCGCUGAAGUGAAACAUCUCAGUAAGCGGAGGAAAAGAAAGAGAAUCGAUUCCGUUAGUAGUGGCGAGCGAACGCGGAACAGGCCAAACCGGAGAGAUUUAUCUCUUCGGGGUUGUAGGGCCCCGUCAUGGUACCAACAAAGUUAGCAGAAGCUUCUGGAAAGCUGCUCCAUAGAAGGUGAAAGACCUGUAUGCGAAAACUGAGUUGGACCUAGGGAGUCCCUGAGUAGCACCGGACACGUGAAACCCGGUGUGAAUCUGUGCAGACCACUGCAUAAGCCUAAAUACUAGGUGUCGACCGAUAGUGAACCAGUACCGUGAGGGAAAGGUGAAAAGCACCCCUGUUAGGGGAGUGAAAGAGUACCUGAAACUUAUUGCUAACAAGCGGUUGGAGCUCCUUUAUGGAGUGACAGCGUACCUCUUGCAUAAUGGGUCUGGGAGUUCAUGUUCGUAGCAAGCUUAAGGCAUUACGUGCCGUAGGCGCAGGGAAACCGAGUCUGAAUAGGGCGAUGAGUUGCGGGCAUGAUACCCGAAGCGGAGGCGAUCUACCCUUGGCCAGGUUGAAGCUUUGGUAACACAAAGUGGAGGACCGAACACACGCACCUUGAGAAGUGCGGUGAUGAGCUGAGGGUCGGAGUGAAAGGCUAAUCAAGCCCCGUGAUAGCUGGUUCUCGCCGAAAUAUAUUUAGGUAUAGCGUCUUGUGCUGACUCUCGGGGGUAGAGCACUGAAAAGGCUAGGGCCCCAUACCGGGGUACCAACCCUUAUCAAACUCCGAAUACCGAGAGGUGAAACAAGGCAGUCAGACUGCGGGGGAUAAGCUCCGUAGUCGAGAGGGAAACAGCCCAGACCGCCGAUUAAGGCCCCUAAAUAGUAGCUAAGUGGAUGGAAGGAUGUGAAUCUUCACAGACAAUAGGGAUGUUGGCUUAGAGGCAGCCACCAUUUAAACAGUGCGUAAUAGCUGACCUAUCGAGAGGAUUUGCGCCGAAGAUGAUCGGGACUAAGCUACUUGCCGAAAUCGCGGGAUUGUAUUAUAUAUGAUCAGUAGGCGAGCGUUCUAACAGCGUCGAAGUCAUCUGGUAAUGGAUGGUGGAGCGGUUAGAAGUGAGAAUCCAGACAUGAGUAACGAUAAACAAGGUUAGAAUCCUUGUCGCCGUAAGGAUAAGGUUUCCUGGGCAACGUUCGUCGCCCCAGGGUUAGUCGGCUCCUAACACGAGGCCGUAAGGAGUAGUGGAUGGAAAGCAGGUUAAUAUUCCUGCACCGAGUGGAGAGGACGGAUUGAAAAGACCCCCUAUCUUAUUGAAUUGGGAGUUGAUGGCUACGGCCUGAUACGUAGGGGUUGGAUCGGUUCCAAGAAAAGCCUCCACAAUAAGGCCGUACCGCAAACCGACACAGGUAUCCGGGAUGAGUAUUCUCAGGCGCGUGGGUUAACCCUCCUUAAGGAACUCGGCAAAUUGGCCCCGUAUCUUCGGUAGAAGGGGUGCCCGUAAAAGGGCCGCAGUGAAGAGGUUCAACCAACUGUUUAGCAAAAACACAGCUCUCUGCCAACACGCAAGUGGACGUAUAGGGAGUGACACGUGACCAAUGCGGAAAGGUGAAACCUUGUUGUUAACGCUUCGAGACUAAGCCCCCGUGAAUGUCGGCCGUAACUAUAACGGUCCUAAGGUAGCGAAAUUCCUUGUCGGGUAAGUUCCGACCUGCACGAAUCGUGAAAUGAGUUGAACGCUGUCUCAAGGAGGCGCCCAGUGAAAUUGUAGUCGCUGUGAAGAUGCAGCGUACCCGCAGCAGGACGGAAAGACCCUAUGAACCUUAACUGUAAGCAGGUAUUGGUAUUUGAUUUUCGAUGCGUAGGAUAGGCGGGAGGCUUUGAAGCUGCUCUCCAGGGAGUAGUGGAGCCAAUGGUGAAAUACCGCUCUUCGCUUGUUAGAUAUCUAACCCCGAACCCAUUAGCUGGGCGGGGAACAGUGCUUGCGGGUCAGUUUGACUGGGGCGGUCUCCUCCUAAAGUGUAACGGAGGAUUACGAAGGUCUACUCAGGGCGGUUGGCAAUCGCCCAAAGAGCACAUGGGUAUAAGUAGGCUUUACUGUGAGACCAACAAGUCGAGCAGUUGCGAAAGCAGGUCCAAGUGAUCCGGCGGUCCAGAGUGGGACGGCCGUCGCUUAAAGGAUAAAAGGUACUCUAGGGAUAACAGGCUGAUUCCACCCAAGCGUUCACAGCGACGGUGGAGUUUGGCACCUCGAUGUCGGCUCAUCACAUCCUGGGGCUGGAGAAGGUCCCAAGGGUUAGGCUGUUCGCCUAUUAAAGUGGUACGCGAGCUGGGUUCAGAACGUCGUGAGACAGUUCGGUCCUCUAUCCGCUGUGGGCGUUGGAGAUUUGAGGGGUUCAUUCAUCAGUACGAGAGGACCGUGAAUGACAUGCCUCUGGUGUUCCGGUUAUUGCGUCAGCAGUACCGCCGGGUAGCUAAGCAUGGAACCGAUAAGCGCUGAAAGCAUCUAAGCGCCAAGCGAUUCCCAAGAUAAGAUCUCCCUAAGGAUCCUGGAAGACCACCAGGUAGAUAGGUCGGGUGUGUAAGUGCAGUAAUGCAUUGAGCUAACCGAUACUAAUUAUCCAAUUGGUUUAGUCUA